This 1850-nucleotide ribosomal RNA is filed under the name metagenome. Its description in RNAcentral is "bacterial LSU rRNA". It matches the Rfam family "Bacterial large subunit ribosomal RNA", at positions 1064 to 2925 of the family's 2925-position model. The record is from RNAcentral.
UGGAAAAGGAUGUGGGAUUUCUAAGACAACUAGGAUGUUGGCUUAGAAGCAGCCACUCAUUAAAAGAGUGCGUAAUAGCUCACUAGUCGAGAGAUCCUGCGCCGAAGAUGUCCGGGGCUCAAACUUACCACCGAAGCUACGGGUUCACACUUAUGUGUGAGCGGUAGAGGAGCGUCGUAAUCGGGCUGAAGUCGUACCGUAAGGAGCGGUGGACUGAUUACGAGUGAGAAUGUUGGCAUUAGUAGCGAGAUGUGGGUGAGAAUCCCACAGGCCGAAUAUCUAAGGUUUCCUCAGGAAGGUUCGUCCGCUGAGGGUUAGUCGGGACCUAAGCCGAGGCCGAAAGGCGUAGGCGAUGGACAAUCGGUUGAUAUUCCGAUACCACUACUGAUCGUUAUUAUCGAUGGUGUGACGGAGAAGGAUAGAGUGUGCUAGCUAUUGGAUGCUAGUCUAAGCGUUUAGGGAGUUAGGAAAGGCAAAUCCGUCCUAACAAUUCUGAGGCGUGAUGGGGAAGGUUCUACGGAACCGAAGUACUUGAUUCCAUGCUUCCAAGAAAAGCAUCUAGAGAGAGAUGUAGUGCCCGUACCGCAAACCGACACAGGUAGAUGAGGAGAGAAUCCUAAGGCCGGCGGAAGAAUCACAGUUAAGGAACUAGGCAAAUUGACCCCGUAACUUAGGGAGAAGGGGUGCCUGCGAGAGCAGGCCGCAGAGAAUAGGCCCAAGCAACUGUUUAGCAAAAACACAGGUCUCUGCUAAAGCGAAAGCUGAUGUAUAGGGGCUGACGCCUGCCCGGUGCUGGAAGGUUAAGGGGAACACUUAGCGCAAGCGAAGGUGUGAACUUAAGCCCCAGUAAACGGCGGCCGUAACUAUAACGGUCCUAAGGUAGCGAAAUUCCUUGUCAGGUAAGUUCUGACCCGCACGAAUGGCGUAAUGACUUGGGCACUGUCUCAACUGUGAAUCCGGCGAAGUUGUAGUGCGAGUGAAGAUGCUCGCUACCCGCGAUUGGACGGAAAGACCCCGUAGAGCUUUACUGUAGCUUAGCAUUGAAUUUCGGUAUUGUCUGUACAGGAUAGGUGGGAGACUGGGAAAUCAGGGCGUCAGCCUUGAUGGAGUCGUCCUUGGGAUACCACCCUGACAGUACUGAGGUUCUAACUGGAUGCCAUGAAUCUGGUGACAGGACAUUGUUAGGUGGGCAGUUUGACUGGGGCGGUCGCCUCCUAAAAAGUAACGGAGGCGCCCAAAGGUUCCCUCAGAACGGUCGGAAAUCGUUCGAAGAGUGCAAAGGCAGAAGGGAGCCUGACUGCGACACCCACAAGUGGAGCAGGGACGAAAGUCGGGCUUAGUGAUCCGGUGGUACCUCGUGGGAGGGCCAUCGCUCAACGGAUAAAAGCUACCUCGGGGAUAACAGGCUGAUCUCCCCCAAGAGUCCACAUCGACGGGGAGGUUUGGCACCUCGAUGUCGGCUCGUCGCAUCCUGGGGCUGUAGUCGGUCCCAAGGGUUGGGCUGUUCGCCCAUUAAAGCGGCACGCGAGCUGGGUUCAGAACGUCGUGAGACAGUUCGGUCCCUAUCCGUCGCGGGCGUAGGAAAUUUGAGAGGAGCUGUCCUUAGUACGAGAGGACCGGGAUGGACUGACCUCUGGUGCACCAGUUGUUCCGCCAGGAGCACAGCUGGGUAGCUAAGUCGGGAAGGGAUAAACGCUGAAAGCAUCUAAGCGUGAAGCCCACCUCAAGAUGAGAUUUCCCAUAGCAUAAGCUAGUAAGACCCCUUGAAGAACACGAGGUUGAUAGGUCAGAGGUGUAAGUGCAGUAAUGUAUGUAGCUGACUGAUACUAAUAGGUCGAGGGCUUGACCAA